RNAcentral lists this small RNA (133 nucleotides) under Klebsiella pneumoniae. RNAcentral's name for it is "RtT sRNA". It matches the Rfam family "RtT RNA". From Rfam's summary of the family: This family represents a bacterial cis-regulatory element known as RtT RNA. The exact function of RtT is unknown although it is thought that it may be involved in changing the cellular response in relation to amino acid starvation. Lineage: Bacteria; Pseudomonadati; Pseudomonadota; Gammaproteobacteria; Enterobacterales; Enterobacteriaceae. The record is from RNAcentral.
UAUUCUGCCCCACGGGGAAGGAUGAGAAGCUUCGACUAAGGUUCGACUCGAGCGCCAGCGAGAGAACGUUGCCGCAGGCAACGGCCCGAAGGGCGAGGCGCUUUAGCGCCGAGUAAUCCUUCCCCCACCACCA